AGGCGAGUAGCUCCAAUGGUAGAGCGGCGGAUUCCAAAUCCGCAUGUUGUGGGUUCGAAUCCCUCCUCGCCUGCCA
RNAcentral lists this transfer RNA (76 nucleotides) under Deltaproteobacteria bacterium. Its description in RNAcentral is "tRNA-Trp". It matches the Rfam family "tRNA". From Rfam's summary of the family: Transfer RNA (tRNA) molecules are approximately 80 nucleotides in length. Their secondary structure includes four short double-helical elements and three loops (D, anti-codon, and T loops). Lineage: Bacteria; Pseudomonadati; Myxococcota; Myxococcia. The record is from RNAcentral.